RNAcentral lists this ribosomal RNA (494 nucleotides) under uncultured bacterium. Its description in RNAcentral is "partial 16S ribosomal RNA". It matches the Rfam family "Bacterial small subunit ribosomal RNA", at positions 28 to 507 of the family's 1533-position model. The record is from RNAcentral.
GACGAACGCUGGCGGCGUGCUUAACACAUGCAAGUCGAACGGAAAGGCCUGCUUUCCCUUGUGGAUUGCGGGUACUCGAGUGGCGAAUGGGUGAGUAACACGUGAGUGAUCUGCCCCCAACUUGGGUAUAAGCCUGGGAAACUGGGUCUAAUUCCCGAUAGGACUGCAGGGUGGUGCCUGUGGUGGAAAACGAUUUUCUAGUGGUUGGGGAUGAGCUCGCGGCCUAUCAGCUUGUUGGUGGGGUAAUGGCCUACCAAGGCGGCGACGGGUAGCCGGCCUGAGAGGGUGGACGGCCACAUUGGGACUGAGAUACGGCCCAGACUCCUACGGGAGGCAGCAGUGGGGAAUAUUGCACAAUGGGCGGAAGCCUGAUGCAGCGACGCCGCGUGGGGGAUGACGGCCUUCGGGUUGUAAACUCCUUUCGACCGCGAGGAAGCCACCUGGUUGGAAGGGUGGUGACGGUAGUGGUAGAAGAAGCACCGGCUAACUACGUG